UACGUAGGGUGCGAGCGUUAAUCGGAAUUACUGGGCGUAAAGCGUGCGCAGGCGGUUUUGUAAGCCAGAUGUGAAAUCCCCGGGCUUAACCUGGGAAUGGCAUUUGGGACUGCAAGGCUUGAGUGCGGCAGAGGAGACUGGAAUUCCUGGUGUAGCAGUGAAAUGCGUAGAUAUCAGGAGGAACACCGAUGGCGAAGGCAGGUCUCUGGGACUGACACUGACGCUCAUGCACGAAAGCGUGGGGAGCAACAGG
This 253-nucleotide ribosomal RNA is filed under the name uncultured bacterium. Its description in RNAcentral is "partial 16S ribosomal RNA". It matches the Rfam family "Bacterial small subunit ribosomal RNA", at positions 524 to 775 of the family's 1533-position model. The record is from RNAcentral.